AUGGCCAGUGAUCAGGAAUGAUGGGCACCAGGUUGAGGAAGGCUGCACUAAACCAUGGUUUAGUGUUACAGCCAAAUGCAGCCAGUGUUCUAAUUGAAGCUAUUGUAAAAGGUAAGAAAUCAAUCCUAUUCUACCUUUUAUAAAAAUCAAAUCAUUUUAACCAAUAGGCAAAUAUAUUUGCGUCCAACUCCUAAUGAUGUCAUUCAUUUUGUAACUAAAACCUGAAUGAUUCCAACUAUAUGCAUUUCAGCCAAUAAGGAUAAUGCUAAUUGUUAUUUACAGUUAAUGGUUAUUUUAGCUGCUUUCAUGGUGUGUAUGUAUAUCACCUUGAGAUACGUGUAAAAGUCAAUUCAUAAAUAAAUAAUAAUUUACCAACAUUGUGUUAGAAUUUAUGUGCUAAAAGUGUUUCCUCCACCGACCUGCUGGUUCCCAUGGCUUGCAACUCUCUAAUUUCCUUCCAAAAUGAAAAAUAAGUUUCUGAACCCUGGAGCCCACGCUGCAAUUUUUAAAGCAGAGCAAUGGAAUUUCUCCAAAAUCUCUCUUUGCUAAUGUUUUGUGAAAUGAACUGUUCAAGACCAUUCAUUUGAAAAACGGAAAAAUCUCUUCAAGGAAUGCCAUAAUAAAUGCAUGGCUUUCCCCUCCUGGGAUAAGCUGUUGCAUAAGCUACAAAAACUGGCACUCUGCUUCUUGAUUCAGAUCUUGUGCUGAGAUGCCAUUACCUAUUCAGUUCACGUGAUCCUGACAGAACUUCUAGCUGCCUCCUUUUACUUUUAGCCUUUUAAACUGAUGCUCCAAGACAAACGAGAGAAGAUACAGAGGCUCUGCACCCGGGAGAACUUGUACACAUGGCUUCCUCUUCUGGUCUUCCAGAUUACUAGCAUUAUCUGAGGAUAACACUUCAUGCAUGUGAUGAGGUUGGUUUUUUUCAUGGUUCCAGUCUGGCCCUUCCCGCUUCCUCAGUUCAAAAUGAAGACCAGGCAUGCUCAAAAAUAACAGCUUCUGACAUGAAAACGCAAGGCCAUUUGGGGGGACGUUGAGCUUCAAUAAAGCUCUUUGGAAACAUAGACAUCUUUAAUAUGCCCAGCCGCAGAAAAGCAGAGUGCAUCUGGGUUUAAUGGCUGAGUCCAUGACUAAAGGACAAGAGACUGUGGUUUGUAUGACCUAUCCAUUUGUUUAUCAGAAUAUAUAACGGGCUAAUUUUACAAUUGUAAUGGUAAGGAGGAGAUGGAGAUCAGGGAGGGUGUAGGUCAGCUGGAAUCAAGUGAACAAUGGCGGCUGAGAUAGCAGCAGAGCAUUAAUUUAAGCACGAGACUUGCACAUCACUACUGUUGAGCCUCUCUUCAUUCAGAGAAUGCUGAAGAUUGUUUGUAGAACUGCUUGUGAUUCAGAUUCAUCACCACCAGGGUUGAGAUUAAGGAGGAACAUGUAGGGGAGAUCUUUAUGAAGCUCACAAGCCCCAUCCCAUCUCCCCCUAUUUUUCAUAUCAUGUUUCCCCCCCAUAUCCUUUUUAAAAAGCCAUCACAAAACGUAUGGGGAUACCUACCUAUAAUGUGAUGCAUUCCUUCUCAGAACACAAGUACAGUAUUCCAAAGCACACCCAAAACUACAAUGUGAGCAGGCCUCUCCAUUUAAUUCAAUGGAAUCCCUUAUAUUACUCCCAACAAAAGUAAUCAACCAGGGCAGCCAAGCCUGCUUUGAAACCAGAUUGAAAUAAGUCUAGAUAGUUAGUUUUCUGCAAGCAUGCCUGAAGCUGGGUCCCACCCCGUUUUGAGCUCCUAUACACAUUUUUGCAAACAGUCUUCCC
This is a non-coding RNA of Podarcis muralis (Common wall lizard), 1804 nucleotides long. NCBI's taxonomy places the organism in Eukaryota, Metazoa, Chordata, Lepidosauria, Squamata, Lacertidae. The record is from RefSeq and is a predicted model, not a curated record.